AUGAAACUGGCUCUUUCUAUGUCGGCCUUCCAUGAAAAACUUAAGCAGGUGAGAUGUGUGUUGUUUGAAGUUCUUCCAAAUGCAUAAAAGUUAAAACAUCUUAACAGUUUUUAAAACACUCAGAUUAUGAUUAUAAUAAUCUGGCUUUGUAAUCAUAUUUAAUGAAACAAUAAUUAUAACUUAUAAUGUUCAAAAAACAAUAUAUAGCAUUAUACCAUCAUCCUUGACCAUCAUGACAGAUAAUGAACAAUACUAAAAGUAUGCAUUGACCCAUGUCCCAAACACUGAACUUGAAGCUUAAUACCAGAGAAAAAAAAAACAGUUGAAUUUAUUAACAUAAGACUAAAAAAUAAAAGAAUUACCUGAAACCUAGUUAAGGCUUUCGUUAGGAUAAGGCCAAUGUUAAGUACUAUCUGCCUCUUCAUGAAAAACCAAAAUUUUUGACACUCAUCUGUCACCUGUGCGAUAUUUAUGUUUACAUUAGUUAGUAAUAUCCUAUUAUCCUCAACUUGAUCAUACCAAAGUAGACUCUAAUAACACUACACAAAUAAACUGAAAAACCACAUCCAUUUUGCAUCAAAAUCAAAUGAAACUGAAACUAUACAAUCAAUGAGCUAAUUUACCUUAUAAUCACUCAGUGAACAGCAUCACGCAUGGCGAAUAAUCGUUAUAUGAAAAAAGCUGAGAAAUGAAUGCUUUGCUACUUUCACUUUAUAUAAUAAGUCCAAUUAACCUACUGAUUAUCCGACAAAUCUUAUGAAGAAAAUGAUAGAACAACAAAAAAUUAUCAAAUAAUAACUAAUUUCAGUUUCAGUAUUAAUAUACUACAAGUUCACUUGAACGUAACAUAAUCACACCACCAACAAUUGAACGACGAAUUACCUGAAUCGUGAAGAGUGUCAAGAUGAAAUGACGCAGACGGUGAGCGGAGCUCUUAUCACCGAAAACUGCCUGGAAUCCGCUAUCCAGGUCCACUUGUCAUCCCCCCAACCUGAAAUCAAAAGCCAUAACUGCUGCAGUUAAUUGGUUUACGUCAGCCUUCUCUGCAUCAUUAUUUUUGGCUGCCUCAACCAGUUAAAAAAUAAAAGUAUACCCCAACAAUCCAUCUUGACCCGCUCAGAUAUUAAAACAUUUUAUGAUGCUCUAGAUGAAAAAGGUUUGGGAACUUUAUACUUAGCGGCUCUUCAAAAAGCCACGCUUCCUUUCAAAACAAUAUAUUUCGGUUACUUCCACAAUAAAAAGGUCAGGAAGGUCAAUACCCAAGAGCAUGAGUUCACUCGAUAUUUUGUGAAUAUCAUCACAAAAUACUAAAUCUAUCUCGUAAUACCCAUAUACGUGGUCAUAUUUCUUUCCUCAACAUCAAUUGACCUUGUUUAGUUUAUUGUAUAACUAUUAUGAGUCUUGUUUUUUUAGAAAUAUAAACAAAGAGCCAGCAAAAACAUUGUUGAAGAUAAGGUCCAGUAACACAAUUCGUAUCCAUGACAUUUUUAGAAACAUUUAAUAUGUGAAUACAAAUUUAUAGUAUUAUCAAGGGCUUAAAUUCAU
RNAcentral lists this long non-coding RNA (1545 nucleotides) under Helianthus annuus (common sunflower). Its description in RNAcentral is "hypothetical non coding rna". The record is from RNAcentral. Lineage: Eukaryota; Viridiplantae; Streptophyta; Magnoliopsida; Asterales; Asteraceae.